AGAGAGAGACAUGCGCGCAUAUCAAUAAGCGGAGGAAAAGAAACUAACAAGGAUUCCCUUAGUAACGGCGAGUGAAGCGGGAAGAGCUCAAAUUUGAAAUCUUCAAGGUUUUACCUUGACGAAUUGUAGUUUAAAGAGGUGUUUUCUGCUGAAGUUUUGGUAAAAGUUCUUUGGAAUAGGACAUCAUAGAGGGUGAGAAUCCCGUAUUUGACCAUUAUUUUCAGCUUUGUGAUACACUUUCAAAGAGUCGGAUUGUUUGGGAAUGCAGUCCAAAAUGGGUGGUAAAUUUCAUCUAAAGCUAAAUAUUGGCGAGAGACCGAUAGCGAACAAGUACCGUGAGGGAAAGAUGAAAAGAACCUUGAAAAGAGAGUUAAACAGUACGUGAAAUUGUCCAAAAGGGAAGUGUUUGACACCAGUGUUGUUUUCUCGAAAAUCAAUUAAAAAUGGCUCGAUUUUGUAUUGUUGAGACCUUAAAAGCUCACUGUACAUUUUUCGUGUCUUUUUUAAUGCACUUUUCGUUUAACAAGUCAACAUCAGUUUCUUUUGUUGUAAAAGGGUCCAUUGGAAGGUGGCUUUCUUUUCGGAGAAAGUGUUUAUAGCCUUUGGCCUCUGCAAUCGAAGAGACUGAGGUCUGCAGCGUAGACUCUUCGGGGUUAGAUACAUUUGUGCUAAGUUAUAGCUUUUUAUAGACAACUUGUUGACUAUAAUUAGUCUUGUAGCUUACUCGCUUAUGCUAUUUUACCUACGCUUAGGAUGUUGAGUCGUAGAGCACGCAG
RNAcentral lists this ribosomal RNA (776 nucleotides) under uncultured Neocallimastigales. RNAcentral's name for it is "partial large subunit ribosomal RNA". It matches the Rfam family "Eukaryotic large subunit ribosomal RNA", at positions 23 to 634 of the family's 3401-position model. Lineage: Eukaryota; Fungi; Neocallimastigomycota; Neocallimastigomycetes; Neocallimastigales. The record is from RNAcentral.